RNAcentral lists this transfer RNA (60 nucleotides) under Chiropterargas boueti. RNAcentral describes it as "Argas boueti tRNA-Ser". The record is from RNAcentral. Lineage: Eukaryota; Metazoa; Arthropoda; Arachnida; Ixodida; Argasidae.
AACAUUUUAACUAUAUAAGUAAGUAUUUUGAAAAUAUUUAAAAGAGAAAUCUAAAUGUUU